Epinephelus fuscoguttatus (brown-marbled grouper) is the source of this 469-nucleotide long non-coding RNA. RefSeq lists it as uncharacterized. Lineage: Eukaryota; Metazoa; Chordata; Actinopteri; Perciformes; Serranidae. The record is from RefSeq and is a predicted model, not a curated record. The transcript has 3 exons.
AUUGAGAGGUGUUAUCUGGUUUAGAGGUUGGUACCUGAAUUGAGAGGUGUUAUCUGGUUUAGAGGUUGGUACCUGGAUUGAGAGGUGUUAUCUGGUUUAGAGGUUGGUGCCUGGGUUGGGGGGUGUUAUCUGGUUUAGAAGGUUGGUACCUGGAUUGAGAGGUGUUAUCUGGUUUAGUGGUUGGUACCUGGGUUGGGGGGUGUUAUCUGGUUUAGAAGGUUGGUACCUGGAUUGAGAGGUGUUAUCUGGUUUAGAGGUUGGUACCUGGAUUGAGAGGUGUUAUCUGGUUUAGAGGUUGGUACCUGGAUUGAGAGGUGUUAUCUGGUUUAGAGGUUGGUACCUGGAUUGAGAGGUGUUAUCUGGUUUAGAGGUUGGUACCUGGAUUGAGAGUUGUUAUCUGGUUUAGAGAUUGGUACCUGGAUUGAGAGGUGUUAUCUGGUUUAGAGGUUGGUACCUGGAUUGAGAGUUG